CGCGCCCGUGAGGUCACCCGGCACGAUUUUUCCGAGCCAGAACAAAGAACCCGAGCCGUCACAGAUGUUAUACGUGUUAUUUUUCUCCUCGUCACCUCCUCCCCCUCACAUAUGUUCCGUUUCUGUAGGUUAGUUACAGCUCGUUAAGAAAGAAAGAAGAAAUGAAAUAAACAGCACUGCUAUUCUCAGACUCUGAGGUGGAGAAUUGUGAUGUUCGGACUCCUUUUUUUUUUUUCUCUUUCUUUCUCUCUCUCUCUUUCCGGGGUUUGUUCUGCGUAAUAAAUGACGCAGGAGCCUAAAGCGUGCUCCUGUUCUGUUUUAAACUCCCAUGAGAAGUCAGCAGCCGUGCGUUGUGUUGAUGUCAUAAGGGCGCAUCGAUAUUGCUAGGGCAUGUUACCGUGGCGUUUAAUAAAUACAACAGCUUAUUUCGAGAAUCGAGAAAUCCGACGUAGAAGUAAACGCUGAACUCGCACUUCCAGAACGCGGUACGGUCGCUCAGGGUUACGCCAGAGGCUCGGCUCGGCUAGUCGGCGAGCUAGCACAUGACGAGCACGGCGUUAGCAUGAAACAUACGGUUUGCUCAGGGUUACGCCAGAGACUCGGCUCGGCUAGGCUAGUCGGCAAGCUAGCACAUGACGAGCACGACGUUAGCAUGAAACAGUACGGUCGCUCAGGGUUACGCCAGAGACUCGGCUCGGCUAGUCGGCGAGCUAGCACAUGACGAGCACGGCGUUAGCAUGAAACAGUACAGUCGCUCAGGGUUACGCCAGAGACUCGGCUCGGCUAGUCGGCGAGCUAGCACAUGACGAGCACGGUUAGCAUGAAACAGUACGGUCGCUCAGGGUUACGCCAGAGACUCGGCUCGGCUAGUCGGCGAACUAGCACAUGACGAGCACGGUUAGCAUGAAACAGUACAGUCGCUCAGGGUUAUGCCAGAGGCUCGGCUCGGCUAGUUGGCGAGCUAGCACAUGACGAGCACGGCGUUAGCAUGAAACAGUACAGUCGCUCAGGGUUACGCCAGAGGCUCGGCUCGGCUAGUCGGCGAGCUAGCACAUGACGAGCACGGUUAGCAUGAAACAGUACGGUCGCUCAGGGUUACGCCAGAGACUCUGCUCGGCUAGGCUAGUCGGCAAGCUAGCACAUGACGAGCACGACGUUAGCAUGAAACAGUACAGUCGCUCAGGGUUACGCCAGAGACUCGGCUCGGCUAGUCGGCGAGCUAUCACAUGACGAGCACGACGUUAGCAUGAAAAUUGAAGCUUUGACUUGGGUGUCUACAAUUUCAGAAGCGAGAGUAAAAGCAAAUGCAGAUCAAAGAAGGCAAUAAUCCGGAAACGUUUCUAGCUAAGCUCCGUACUGAUC
Ictalurus punctatus (channel catfish) is the source of this 1362-nucleotide long non-coding RNA. The record is from Ensembl. NCBI's taxonomy places the organism in Eukaryota, Metazoa, Chordata, Actinopteri, Siluriformes, Ictaluridae.